Molecule: ribosomal RNA, 253 nt
Filed under: uncultured bacterium
Lineage: Bacteria
Description: partial 16S ribosomal RNA
Rfam family: Bacterial small subunit ribosomal RNA
Source: RNAcentral
UACGGGGGGGGUAAGCGUUGUUCGGAAUUACUGGGCGUAAAGGGCUCGUAGGCGGCCAACUAAGUCAUACGUGAAAUCCCUCAGCUUAACUGGGGAACUGCGUGUGAUACUGGAUGGCUUGGAUUUGGGAGAGGGAUGCGGAAUUCCAGGUGUAGCGGUGAAAUGCGUAGAUAUCUGGAGGAACACCGGUGGCGAAGGCGGCAUCCUGGACCAAUAUUGACGCUGAGGGGCGAAAGCCAGGGGAGCAAACGGG